Long non-coding RNA from Gallus gallus (chicken), 1925 nucleotides. RefSeq lists it as uncharacterized. NCBI's taxonomy places the organism in Eukaryota, Metazoa, Chordata, Aves, Galliformes, Phasianidae. The transcript is spliced from 2 exons. The record is from RefSeq and is a predicted model, not a curated record.
AUACCAACGGGCCUUAGCAACGGGGCGGAACAGGAAAGUGGGGCUGUUCCCCUCGGAGCAGCCCCUCUCGCUUCCAACGGCAUGGCUCAGGUCUGCCUCGUGCAGAGGGCUUCGUCUGCAAGAGGAGGCUCAACUCCUGCGCAGCUCCGGCCCUGCCCGCAGGAAGAAGUGCAGGUGGUGGUGGUGCUGGGCUUGCUUCUGGGCCCGGUGCUGCCCUGCUUCCCCAUCCCCUGAACCCAGGUAGGGUAUGGCAGAAGAGCCCUGCUGCAGAGGGAAUCUGAGGCCCUGCUGCAUCCCACCAGGACUAGAGAGCAGGUGUGUAGCUGGGGAGUUCAGCAUAAGCCCGCAGUGAGCAGGAAGGGAAACACCUGCAUUUCCAGGGAAGAAGAACUGGAGGGAUGGACAGGCUUAGCACACAGGAGAAAGGAGAGAGCAGGAUGCUUCAGGAUGGCUGUCUGCUGCUCUGCUCUAAGGGAAAGCAUGCAGCAUGAAGCCUUCCUCCCGCAGCCUGGGAGGAGAUGUGCCUGCUCCUGUCGCCCUUCUCCUCGCAGUGGUCUGCACAAGAUGUCAGCACAGGGCCUGCUCCUCCUGCCCUCUGCUGCUGUCCUUGCCAGGCUGUCAGCCUGUCACUGGAACAAAGGCUGGCACUGACAGGGCCCCAUGCACCGUCACUGACACAUCCAGACCAUGCCCUUGUCACUCCUGUCCUUACUGGGAUGUCUGUCCCCCUCUCCCCCCUCCCCAUCUCCUCCUCACCUGCUGCUUGUGGCCGCUGGUGUGCACAGCUUCAGCACGCUGUGCCCACGGCAGUUCUGUCCUUGUCCUCCUAAGCAGGCACUGCUGGGACAGAACAGCCACUGGGCAGAGGCCAGCUGAUUUGUGCCAUGCGGGACCUCUUCUGCCCCAGCCUCAUCUGGAGCGGCAGUUUCUCCCUAGCAGCUCCUGCAAUAGGGGUUGCUCUUUCCCAGCACCCUUCUACUGUGUCUGUGUCCCCUCCGAUGGGGCUCAUACCACAAAGAGCCAGCUCCCAGUGACAUCAGAGACAUGUCCUCCACACAGCUGAGCUCUGGGCUGCCUCAGUACCCAUGAGCAGACAUGGCUUUUGCCAGAACCACAGAAAUGUACAUCUUUGCUAACCCUCCUUCUUUAGCAAUAAUGUAUUUUAGCUUCCCGGAUGCAAUGAUCUAGCUACAGAAGCACAAGAUUUAAAAAUACUGACUUCAUAGUUGAUUUCCUUUGCUCAUUUUACUCCCAGGAAUGCCUCUGGAUCCAGUUUUUAUGUUUGCAAGUGUGAGAGCUACAACAACUUUUAUUUUUGAAGGUUUUUUGCUCUGGCAAACCCUGGGACUUCUGGAGUAUCAGAAAUAGGUGGCUGUAUCAGCGAGGAAAGAUCCUGCCAAGCAAGCUCCAAGGCAGGCAUAUUUCUGAGAAGUAAACCUCACCCAGCCCCAAUCAGGUACUAGCAAGGACAAAGAUGAGCAUGACCCAGCAACAAUCACCAGUUCCUUUAGCUGCAUGGACACUCUGCACAUGCAGAGAACGUUUCAGGAGCAGCUCUGCUGGAAAUGCUGCCCUAAGUUUGAAUUUUGCUGCAGUCAGCUCCAGCCUGCAGGAGACUUUGAUCUUUCAGAGCAGAGAUGGCUGGACCCACCUCAUAUGAGCGAAUUGUCCUACCUGACCCUACAGGAAGAACAUCAAGAUCUUGGAAGUGUGGUACCCAAUGAAUCCAUCUCCCUCGUACUGCACAAGGAGAUGGAGCCCAUGGGAAGAGCAGAACAUGCUGCCUUGCUGAAGGGCUUCACCUAGAGUAGACAGAUCCUCUGCUGCAUGGAAAGGAUGUUUUCCUGCUUGCUGAUUGCUGCAGCAUCACCAUGGGCAGAAUUCACCUUUCAUCCAGAUAAAUCAUCACCUGGGCUUGCCUGCUU